Molecule: long non-coding RNA, 2044 nt
Filed under: Homo sapiens (human)
Lineage: Eukaryota; Metazoa; Chordata; Mammalia; Primates; Hominidae
Description: HSALNT0030613
Source: RNAcentral
CCUGCUUUCAAUUUUGUCCGGUGAGAACUCCUGAUAAUUCUGAAUUUGUAAUUCUCAAAUCUUGUUUUUAAAAAUAGUCAUGUAAUUUCUGUACAAAAUGGUAGAAUUUGUAGGAAUUCUGGACAUGCUUCCUGGCUUUCUCAAAGGCCCUGUCUUCACCAGUGGACCUGCUGCAGGGAGGGAGAUACUGAAUGAUGACAGAGAAGUCUAUCCCGAGAGCUCUGCUGGGACAAAGGAGGCAGAAACACCUGGCCAACGCACAAAUGGAAAAGUCGGCAGGACAAGAACUCGGGGUUGGAAAUGAAUAGUGCUUAAUCCCAUGAGGCUGAGGACUUGCUAUUUAGAUGCUCAUGCUGUAAAAGCUUCAAAGACUCAAGGGGAUUUAUUAAGAGCUAGGGCAUUGAAACCUUUGGCUGUGUGCAGCAUCGCCCAUUGAAUCGUAAAUUUGUCUUUAUAAAUAUCGAGAACAUGUACUUGAUGAUUUUACUCAUACAAACCAGGUAAGGAGGUGGUGAAUCAUAUCAUCAUCAUCCUUGAGAAGGAGAGCGAUCUGGAGUGUUCAUUUUCCAGCUGAAAUUACUGGAAGUUUUUUUUUGGCUUUAUUUUGUUGCGUUUUUGAAGGGAGAAAAUAAAAAAGGAGGAAUGCCAAAGGUUGUCAGUUGUUUUCAGGAAAGCAUAUAUUCCAGGUUUCCAUUCCUGUCACCUGCAGAUAAAUUUAAAUGCACGGAGCCUUGAAAUCUGAGCAUUGAAUGGUACUCUGGGUAUCAUUUAACCUUCACACACCAUAAUGAGGCCCUUUAUAGCGUUCUAUCAGACAGUCACGCUCUCUCGAUUUGGACGCUUCUGGUGAGGGGGGACGCAUUACUUGAAGAGGCAGCAUGCCCAUUAUGGCAUUGCACAUUUUAUUAUAAAAGUUGUAAUUAACUACUGAAUUCCAUUCUUCACAGUGCAGUGUUAUAGUGUGGGCAAAGGCACUGACGUGAUCUGAAAGUAGGCCCCAGGGUAGAAAUUAGAAGCUCUUUUGUGCAUACCAUGCACAGUCUUGUUGUUGGUACCAGGUUGUGCUGCCUCUGCUUUCUGCUAAGUGAAUCCAGGGAUAUGAUAGAUUUGAGGAAAUGGUCAGCAUAUAUUUUAGUUUUUUUCCUAGAUGUUCCAAUUGGCCUUGGACUUGGCUGCAGCAGCAUAGGUGAACAUUGAGGAUGCUGUUCCCUAAAUUUAACUAUAGAAUGGGAGUUGUGGAUAGGGGUGGGGACUGUCUGUCUGUGGUUGGACUUGACUUGGUACUAGGUAAGUUUAGUGUGUCCAGAACCUUAUCUUCAUCAGCUUUUUUUCUUUUUUUUGAGAUAGGGUCUCGCUCUUCUGUCCAGGCUGGAGUACAGUGGCACAUUCUUGGCUCACUGAAACCUCCACCCCCAGGGCUCAAGCCAUACUCCCACCUCAGCCCACCAAGUAGCUGGGACUACAGGGCUGGGACUUACAUGUAUUUGAAUGAAUUCUAUAUAUUUCCCCUCUUUUCCUGACUCUUCAGUGACAAUCCUAAGACCAUGCUAAUAACAGAAGACAGUAAUCCCUUUUCUUAGCCAAACAAUUUGGAAGCCAUGAUUUUCUUUGCAUAUCAUGAAAGUGACCAUGGUGUUGGAUAUUGUGGUAGAACUUUCAAGUAAAAAAGAACUGUCAUUCAACUGAAUUGGAAGCCUCCAAGACUGCUGAGCACCCCAUGUCUUCGAGUGCACCGAGGCUGGAGGAAUGCUACAGAGGGAAACUUGCUUUGGAAGAAGGUGGUCUUCAUAGCUUCCAAUGUCUCCUAUGCUCCCAUAAAUAAGAGCAGAAAACAGAGACUAUAAAACUUUUGGGUCUCUGAUUUUUCAGACUCUUUUCUUAUUAAUUCCAGCAUAUGCACCUACUGAUGAUGACUUCCUGAGUGACUGAUGUGUGCCAGGUCCUGUAGUUGUUAUAGUUAAAGAGAAUAAAAGAUCCUUCCAUUGCUAUGGUGAUAUUUUUGCCACUAACCAGUUACUCAUCACUCCCAGUUGGAACAUAGCUA